UACACACUUCUGUGAAACACAACGUAGGA
Molecule: non-coding RNA, 29 nt
Filed under: Mus musculus (house mouse)
Lineage: Eukaryota; Metazoa; Chordata; Mammalia; Rodentia; Muridae
Source: RNAcentral